RNAcentral lists this ribosomal RNA (253 nucleotides) under uncultured bacterium. RNAcentral describes it as "partial 16S ribosomal RNA". It matches the Rfam family "Bacterial small subunit ribosomal RNA", at positions 524 to 776 of the family's 1533-position model. The record is from RNAcentral.
UACGGGGGGGGCAAGCGUUGUUCGGAAUUACUGGGCGUAAAGGGCUCGUAGGCGGCCAACUAAGUCAGACGUGAAAUCCCUCGGCUUAACCGGGGAACUGCGUCUGAUACUGGAUGGCUUGAGGUUGGGAGAGGGAUGCGGAAUUCCAGGUGUAGCGGUGAAAUGCGUAGAUAUCUGGAGGAACACCGGUGGCGAAGGCGGCGACCUGGGUAGAUACUGACGCUGAGGCGCGAAAGCGUGGGGAGCAAACAGG